Molecule: ribosomal RNA, 410 nt
Filed under: Verrucomicrobiota bacterium
Lineage: Bacteria; Pseudomonadati; Verrucomicrobiota
Description: Verrucomicrobia bacterium partial 16S ribosomal RNA
Rfam family: Bacterial small subunit ribosomal RNA
Source: RNAcentral
UGGGGAAUCUUGCACAAUGGGCGAAAGCCUGAUGCAGCGACGCCGCGUGCGGGAUGAAGGCCUUCGGGUUGUACACCGCUUUCAGCAGGGACGAGGCCGCAAGGUGACGGUACCUGCAGAAGAAGCCCCGGCCAACUACGUGCCAGCAGCCGCGGUAAUACGUAGGGGGCAAGCGUUAUCCGGACUCAUUGGGCGUAAAGCGCGCGUAGGCGGUCGGUUAGGUCAGGAGUUAAAUCUGGGGGCUCAACCCCUAUCCGCUCCUGAUACCGGCAGGCUUGAGUCUGGUAGGGGAAGAUGGGAUUCCAGGUGUAGCGGUGAGAUGCGCAGCUAUUUGGAAGAACACCGGUGGCGAAGGCGGUCUUCUGGGCCAUGACUGACGCUGAAGCGCGAAAGCUAGGGGAGCGAACAGG